GAUUGAACGCUGGCGGUAUGCUUAACACAUGCAAGUCGAACGGAAACGAUACUAGCUUGCUAGUAGGCGUCGAGUGGCGGACGGGUGAGUAACGCGUAGGAAUCUGCCUGAUAGUGGGGGAUAGCCCGAAGAAAUUCGGAUUAAUACCGCAUAAUCUAUUCGUAGUAAAGUGGGGGACUUUCGAGCCUCACGCUAUCAGAUGAGCCUGCGUAAGAUUAGCUUGUUGGUAGGGUAAAAGCCUACCAAGGCGACGAUCUUUAGCUGGUCUGAGAGGAUGAUCAGCCACAUCGGGACUGAGACACGGCCCGAACUCCUACGGGAGGCAGCAGUGGGGAAUAUUGGACAAUGGGGGCAACCCUGAUCCAGCAAUACCGCGUGUGUGAAGAAGGCCUGAGGGUUGUAAAGCACUUUCAAUUGUGAAGAAAAGUUAGCGGUUAAUAACCGUUAGCCUUGACGUUAACUUUAGAAGAAGCACCGGCUAACUCCGUGCCAGCAGCCGCGGUAAUACGGAGGGUGCAAGCGUUAAUCGGAAUUACUGGGCGUAAAGCGUGCGUAGGCGGUUUAUUAAGUCAGAUGUGAAAGCCCCCGGGCUUAACCUGGGAACUGCAUUUGAAACUGGUCAACUAGAGUAUGGUAGAGGAAAGUGGAAUUUCUGGUGUAGCGGUGAAAUGCGUAGAUAUCAGAAGGAACAUCAAUGGCGAAGGCAGCUUUCUGGACCAAUACUGACGCUGAGGUACGAAAGCGUGGGUAGCAAACAGGAUUAGAUACCCUGGUAGUCCACGCCGUAAACGAUGAUAACUAGCCGUUGGGGGGAUUUACCCUUUAGUGGCGAAGCUAACGCGUUAAGUUAUCCGCCUGGGGAGUACGGCCGCAAGGUUAAAACUCAAAGGAAUUGACGGGGACCCGCACAAGCGGUGGAGCAUGUGGUUUAAUUCGAUGCAACGCGAAGAACCUUACCUGGUCUUGACAUCCUGCGAACUUUCUAGAAAUAGAUUGGUGCCUUCGGGAACGCAGUGACAGGUGCUGCAUGGCUGUCGUCAGCUCGUGUCGUGAGAUGUUGGGUUAAGUCCCGUAACGAGCGCAACCCCUAUCCUUAUUUGCCAGCACAUCAUGGUGGGAACUAUAAGGAGACUGCCGGUGAUAAACCGGAGGAAGGCGGGGACGACGUCAAGUCAUCAUGGCCCUUACGACCAGGGCUACACACGUGCUACAAUGGGAAGGACAAAGAGCCGCGAAGCCGCGAGGUGUAGCUAAUCUCAUAAACCUUUUCGUAGUCCGGAUUGGAGUCUGCAACUCGACUCCAUGAAGUCGGAAUCGCUAGUAAUCGUAGAUCAGAAUGCUACGGUGAAUACGUUCCCGGGUCUUGUACUCACCGC
This 1376-nucleotide ribosomal RNA is filed under the name uncultured bacterium. Its description in RNAcentral is "bacterial SSU rRNA". It matches the Rfam family "Bacterial small subunit ribosomal RNA", at positions 27 to 1393 of the family's 1533-position model. The record is from RNAcentral.